AUUCCAGCUCCAAUAGCGUAUAUUAAAGUUGUUGCAGUUAAAAAGCUCGUAGUUGGAUUUGUGGUUGGGUCUGUCGGUCCGGCACAUUGUACGGGUACUUGAUGGACUCGUCCAUCCUUGGGUGGAAUCUGUGUGGCAUUAAGUUGUCGUGCAGGGGAUGCCCAUCGUUUACUGUGAAAAAAUUAGAGUGUUCAAAGCAGGCUUAUGCCGUUGAAUAUAUUAGCAUGGAAUAAUGAGAUAGGACCUUGGUACUAUUUUGUUGGUUUGCGCACCGAGGUAAUGAUUAAUAGGGACGGUUGGGGGUAUUCGUAUUCCAUUGUCAGAGGUGAAAUUCUUGGAUUUUUGGAAGACGAACUACUGCGAAAGCAUUUACCAAGGAUGUUUUCAUUA
Molecule: ribosomal RNA, 390 nt
Filed under: Synedra sp.
Lineage: Eukaryota; Bacillariophyta; Fragilariophyceae; Fragilariales; Fragilariaceae
Description: partial small subunit ribosomal RNA
Rfam family: Eukaryotic small subunit ribosomal RNA
Source: RNAcentral